RNAcentral lists this unclassified non-coding RNA (286 nucleotides) under Paraconiothyrium sp. RNAcentral describes it as "partial contains 5.8S ribosomal RNA, internal transcribed spacer 2, and large subunit ribosomal RNA". The stretch from base 1 to 71 matches the Rfam family "5.8S ribosomal RNA", at positions 84 to 154 of the family's 154-position model. Lineage: Eukaryota; Fungi; Ascomycota; Dothideomycetes; Pleosporales; Didymosphaeriaceae. The record is from RNAcentral. RNAcentral also lists the same sequence under 2 other names.
GUGAGUCAUCGAAUCUUUGAACGCACAUUGCGCCCCUUGGUAUUCCAUGGGGCAUGCCUGUUCGAGCGUCAUCUACACCCUCAAGCUCUGCUUGGUGUUGGGCGUCUGUCCCGCCUCUGCGCGCGGACUCGCCCCAAAUUCAUUGGCAGCGGUCCUUGCCUCCUCUCGCGCAGCACAUUGCGCUUCUCGAGGUGCGCGGCCCGCGUCCACGAAGCAACAUUACCGUCUUUGACCUCGGAUCAGGUAGGGAUACCCGCUGAACUUAAGCAUAUCAAUAAGCGGAGGA